Molecule: long non-coding RNA, 5308 nt
Filed under: Homo sapiens (human)
Lineage: Eukaryota; Metazoa; Chordata; Mammalia; Primates; Hominidae
Description: HSALNT0331561
Source: RNAcentral
UUUUUUUUUUUUUUUUGCUUUUUGCCAAAAAUUUUAUUGUUUAGUGUUUGGGUCCAUACUGCUUUUAUGAGUUGUAAUACUCACCCCAAAGGUUUGCAGCUUCGUAUUUGAAGCUAGAGGCCCCGGAUGUAUUGGCAGGAACAAACAACUCCAGGUGUGUUGCCUUAAGAACUCUAACACUCACCACGGAGGUUUGUAGCUUCACUCGUGAACCAGCGAUACCAUGAACCCCCCAGAAGGCAGAAAUUGCUAACAUAUCUGCAUAUAGGAAGGAACAAACGGGGCGCGCUCCCGCACACGCCGCCUUUAAGAAGCUGCACCAUUCUCUGCAAGGGUCCACUGCUUUAUUCUGUGAGUAAGACUAAGAACCCAGUAAUGGCGGACACGUGGGGAUUCAGAGGAGCGCAGGACGGAUUCUGAAUGCUGUUGCUCGGGAAGCUGAAGAUGUGCACACAGGGCUUCUCCGCAGUAAGGGGCUUGGUCCCUGAACCAUGCUCCGUUUCUUAACUGUUCCCAGGACCCAGCGUCUGUUCACCCCAUGGGGCCACGCCAUUCCAGGAGCCACAGGAAGCCAGCACUGCUAGGUUGACCUCAGUCCUUUAGCCAGGACACAGCUGUGGGCACUAUGCGGUUGCCGCUGGGUUCAAGGUAGGACCUUCUUCACGUAUAAAGGGAGAAAAAGUGAAGGAAUGGUUCCUUUUUCCAACUACUGAUUUCUCCUCUGCUUGUGGUAGCUGUGUGGGGAUAGUAAGGGGAUCGUUUUAAGAAAAACCUACAAGGUGGGCAUGGCAGUGUUCUGGGUCCCUGAUGUCACUGGGUCGCUUGUAAUCAAUCUCCAGCCUUCAGCCUGGGGCUGAAGUAAUAAGAAAUGCCACCGCUUCUCUGACAUAUCCAUGUCUGAGGUUUUGAUUUGCUUUUGGCAAACAGGCACAGAAGUUUUAAGUUCAGCCUAGGAAAGUCUCUGCUUGUUCCAGAGUGUUCCAGAGUCAGUUCCAGGUAGUAGUAGGGUAAACAGGCUUGGGGGUGUGCGGACGAGGCCAGGAGCCAAGAUGUCAUUCGGGGAUGGCCAAGCUGUAGGCGCAAGGCAGCCCUGACUAUGGGGCUGGAGUGCGUCCGUGAUGAGGUGGUGUGCCUGGCAACUUGCAGGUGCUUUUGGGAGGACCUGGGGCAAAUUCUUUAGUUCUUCCAUGGCUGUUUCCACAAAUGUGAAAUGGCGAUAAUAGAGCCCACCUCAGAUUAAAUAGAUUCCCAUGUGUAAGGCAGUCAUGGUGCUGGGUGUCAAAUGUGCUACAUUAUAACUGACCUGUGGCCAUUUCUUUUUUUUCUUGAAAGAAAUUAAAAAUAGCUAUAAUUUAAUGAACACAUGAAUGGUUGGGCAUUACACAAUAUGCUGGAUAAAUGUUGCUUAAAUUCACCCAGCUUGGUCUCACUUUCUGAGGCUUCCUACCAUUUUUGAACUAUCCCAAAUGCCUUUGUCCUGAGCCAGUUUCCCCAGAGACUCGAAGCAUCUGACACUAAAAGUCAUGUAGCUCAGCUUCAAUGAAUGCACAAAUGCGCCAGCCAGCAUCCCAGGAGAUGACUGCUACAGCCAGGGCUGAACACCUAGUGGGCCUCCCAUCCUGGAAUGGGAAGGGCCAGGGGAAAGGACUCUGAGAACACAGGGGGCUACUGCGUUACGAAGCAAAACCUUUAGUGGAAGGGAUGGCAGUGCUACCAAUGGAACUGAGCAGUGUGUCUGCUCCAGCAUGGAGUGCCCCCCUCCCCUCCUUGGGUGCACCUGCGUGUGUCCUCCUUGUCUCUCCAUGUGGUUGACCUGGGGAGAAGAACCUACAGCUGCUCUCGGCACGACUCCAGGGGAGCUGGGAGACAGACACACAAGCUCACUCAAGGAAACAGCAGGAAGCCAUAGCCUGCUACGGUGAAAGUCCAUGUGGGGUCCUGGCCAGAUCCCAGGGACCUGGGGAUGUUGGCAAGGCAAGGGUGCCUUUUUCUGAGCAGUGCUUUUGGUGAACUUAGCAUCCUCAUCACCUGGGUCCCUUGUCAGUUACAAUUAACGUGUGCGAUCUGGAUUUCCAAUAACUCCCAGCAUUUCUGCAGUCGUUACUGGUCUGCUAAGAAAUCUCUGAGGACUCUCUGUGGCUCACUGAAUUAAAUGCAGCUUUUGAUGGGAUUUUGGAACUGGUGACACAGCUGCCUCUGGCAAGGAUCAGACACACGGCCAGCUGCCCUUUGCACACAGAGCCCUGAGCCACGGUCUGCGUGUGAGCCUGACUCGUUUCUGGCACAGACUCACCCUGUGAUGCUCCGGGGGCCAGCUGGGAAUGCCGCUGCUGCCUCUUUCAGGAGGCCAGCCCCCAGCGCUGCCUCCACGGGCCAGUAGGGCAGGGACGCUGAUGAGUGCCCGUUCUUGCUUCUCAAGCUCUUAAGGCAACAAUUCCAUUACCAUCGCUAGUUCUCGCUCCAGCACAGGGAGGACGGAAUGGCUCUGCCUGUCAUCAGAUGAGGGGAGUCCACUCAGGGCUGUUAGUCCUUUAGCAAAGGCCACAGAUGGGUGAGCAGCAGAAACGACAUGGGAGCUGAGGCCGGGACCCACAGCCAACGUGCUUUUGCUCCAUCAAUUGAGAUGAUCAGUUUUUCUUUUUUAAAAAAAUCUUUUCAGAAGAUGAAUUACAUUCGUUAAUUUUCAAACGUUGAACCAACCUUUCACUUCUGGGCCUCUGGAAUUGAUGAACUUUCUCUGAGCUGUGACCCAGGUGGAUGGAUGUCAGAAAGCAUAUUCCGCUGGAAGGAAGAGCUGAGCAGUAGUGAAGUCAAGGACAUACAGAGCCAGAGUGUGAACAUGAGUCCUGCUACUUACUGCCUUGCAGUCUUACGGAAGUCACCAACCUCUCUCUAAGCCCUGAUUCCUUCCUCUGCUAAAUGGACGUGGCGGUAAGCUAGCCCACAUGUAUCAUAAGGCUGUUGUGAGGAUUCAACGAGGCACUUCAUGGUGUGCCUCGCACAUGGUAAGUCCCCAGCAAACAGAAUUAGCAGGACCUGACAGAUGGUUUCUGACAAUGUGUUUACCAAUACAGGGUUAACCAGAAUGUAAGUAUUUUGGGUGUUAACAGUAGAAAUAUGAAAAUGUUGAAAUAAAGACACUUAGGGAAAAAUGUCAAGUAAAUUACAACUUACAUUAAAGGCAGAUUCUUUAUUGGCUGAAUGUGCUGUAGUAGAUAUUUAAAAUAUCACAAACAUUCAUGAUUGCAGUUUUUAAACUUAGCUCACAGUUGAGUUAGAUACAACAGUUAACAUACUUAGGAAAGACAAUUCUUAACAGCUUUAUCAAGCACAUUUGUGAAAGAUUAAACUUUCAUUUCCAGUUACCAUGAUGUCCCCCCAUACACCAAAUGAACCAACACAUUUAUUUAUUUUAAAUAAUGGAAACUGUACAUGGCUACACUGUGCUCUAAAAUUACUUGCAUUAAUGAGGACAUUAAUUUUAGCAUUUAAAAAAAGAGAUUUAAAAAUAACCAUAGAAAAACUUGAAAACCCUGACAAGCCGACUACAAAGAGAAUUCCUCUCUGAAAAUUUUCAGAUGCGACGGUAUGAGGGAGUUGGGUGGGCCGCUGACUCUGAGAGAAGUCCCGGUGACCUGAACCUAUUCCAGUGAAGCCAGUCAGCAGUGAAUGUGGGGCAAGUGCAUGCGGCUGGUCUACAGCUCCCAUUGCCUGGUGACCAAGGAGCAUCCUGAAGUUUCAGAGAAGAGACUGUGUGACAGCAGCAUUGUUCCAGCUACUGAGCAAGAUCCUUCAGCAGAUGGAGUUUUGCUCUGUCGCCCAGGCUGGAGUGCAGUGGCGCGAUUUCGGCUCACUGCAACCUCCACCUCCCGGAUUCAAGCAAUUCUCCUGCCUCAGCCUCCUGAGUAGCUGAAACUACAGUCUUGCAAGAGGAAAGACACUUUGAAACACUGCCCUGAAAGGGCCCGUGUCCCACAGAGAAAUUCCAUUUAGUUCCUGUUUUAGGGUUUCUAUUUCUCCGCCGAGAUUUCCCACCUACUGAUUUAUGAGGAGCGCAGUUUCCUUUACAUCAUCUGAUGCCGCUGUGUUAAAAUCCUUGUCUGCUAAUUCCAAUACCUGGGUCAUCUUAAGGGUGGCUUCAGGUGAUCAUGUUUUGUAUUAGGAAUAAGUCGUGUUUUCCCAGUUAUUUGUGCAUUUCAAUUAAAUUUGAAUUCAAUUAAAUUUGCAUCCCGGACAUUGUGAAUGUUAUGCUGUGGAGACUCUGGAUUCUGUAAUAUAUCUCUAAGGACUGUUGAUUUUUUAUUUGUUUGUUUUAGCAAGCAGUUAACUUAUUUGGACUCUAACUCUUGGCUCUUGGGCAGCAUCCAAUUCUUACUUCAGUUCUUCUAGCCUUCGCUGGGCUGGCUGGAGUGGAGUCGGACCAUGCAUAUGGAGAGACUCCUCUAUGGGAUACCUCUCUCACCUAGCCGUAGUUGUGGCUGCUCCAAAGCCUGUUUUUCAAGCCAGAAAGCACGUUUUGUCUUGGAGUUUUAGGCACUCCUGGACCUGGCUUUAGGUUAAAAUCCAUAAGAAAUAAGAAAUUCAUGCGGGUGCCAUUUCCUCUAGAAUCUGCCCACCAAUGGUCGUUCUCUGGUGUCUUCAGGGAUUUUUUCAAAAUUAAAAAAAAAAUUUUAUUUUUUGAUAUUUAAGUUUACAGUUGUUAUUUGUGGUGGGCUGGCCUGAUAGGAGCUUCCUCAGCCAUGGCUGGACGAAGGGCACUGCUUUUUGAAACUCACUGCCACGCUGCCAGCCAUCACAUGAGGAGCUCCCAGGCAGAAGUGCACGCUUCCAUCUGCAGGCAUGCCUAGCAACUACCAGCUGGUUAUGUGCAUGCCAAAGUCAACUGGUGUUUACGGCAGUUAUAAUUAUGUAAUUUAAACAAAAGAGACAGUUAUUUGUUGUUUCUAUGCAAACUGCACUGAAUGCUUUCAAAAGACUUAUUAAAAGCAAGUUGUUAAAAAUUUCCUGCGGAAUGGAAUGUCAUGAAGAUAGUUGGAAAAUAAAAAUAAAAAUCACAAAACUUUUGAAGGAUUCUGCAUUCAGAUAAUUUGGCAGAAGUCUUUAAGAUCUUGCUCUACUGUAAAGAAACAGAAACUCUGAAACUUGUAGACAAUGCUUCAUGGGUAUGGCUUAUGCAAGAAAGAAUAUGAACUUCUUCAAUCAGUAGAUCCAUUAAAAGAAGCCUGUCAUAUCAUAAGAUUGAUGACUAAAAACAUUUUAUAUGCUUUAAAUAACAACAGAAGUUCAAUAUGAAAUUGAAUGAUUUUGU